UUUGUGCCAGCGGUGUCACCGUGGAGCUACUAUCAUCCCUCAAGGAACGGUUCAUCUUUAUGUGUAAUCCAGCAGCUGUCACCUAAACGGCUAAUGGGGAAGCAAAGUAGAACCUUAGUGCUAGUCGUCUUUGUCACUUAAUAAUUUUAAAGGUAGAAGAUGCCGGGAUGGUGGAGUGCCUGCAUUUAAGAGGAAGAUUUAUUGGAUUCGCAGCAUCCACUGUGAACCUUCUACAACCACAUUAGCUAACAUCUGUUGGAAAAUGUCGAGACGCAGGGCUGAAGACAUGUGCGCAGAAUUGAAAUGAUCAUAACUUUCGAGGCUUGUUUUGAACCAACAGUAC
RNAcentral lists this long non-coding RNA (343 nucleotides) under Vulpes vulpes (red fox). RNAcentral describes it as "lncRNA (ENSVVUG00000002896.1)". The record is from RNAcentral. Lineage: Eukaryota; Metazoa; Chordata; Mammalia; Carnivora; Canidae.